Molecule: non-coding RNA, 14392 nt
Organism: Bactrocera oleae (olive fruit fly)
Lineage: Eukaryota; Metazoa; Arthropoda; Insecta; Diptera; Tephritidae
Source: RefSeq, a predicted model, not a curated record
GAAUCAGCACUUAAGCUUGGGUUUAUAGGCGUAAGGCUAAUUUAAUCAUUAAAAAUUUCGUUGUUGAUUGCAAAUCGCUUUCUUGCCUUUGCUGAGUUGCGUCGUUUGCUGAGUUAUAUCAAACAUUUAGUUUUGAAUUCGCACUAUUAGAGUAAUGUACAUUUUACCGCAGCGUUCGACAGCGACAAUAGACGGAAAUAGUUAAAAGAAAAUACCGUUGAGACGUGCAUAUAUGAUAUGAAGUUCAAUAAAAUACUACGAAAUGCUAUGAUGGAGUGUUAUUAUUUUUAAUUUUCGAUCAAUGAGUCAAAAUACUGAAAUUAAAUAAGUAGAAUAUAAUAAAGUAGCUGCAAGGAUUUUCAGUUAACAGUUGUAGAAAUAAUUGUUGACUGUGUGUAAGUGAAGUAAAGUGAAUGAUUGCAUGAAAUCGUAAAUAAAAUAUACAAAUAAUAGUAUAAAUACUACACGAAAUAUAAAAAAUAAUAUAAAAAACAUUUAAAAAACUAAAGGAAUUGGGGUAGCUGAAUUGAAAAUCACUAAAAUCUACUGGUGUGAAUGUGCUUAGUUUCUUAAAAAUUUGAAAUAAAAACGUUGAAACUUCAAACUCAAGAUGAGAAUUUAAAAAUAAAUAUUCGACACACGCAAACGCCAUUUUAGACAGCUGAGCCGAACACACACAAUGUCUGCAGCUAUCUUCUGUUUUUAUAUCCUUAAAACCGGUGAUUAGGAAGUGUUGCACCCUAACGUUCUAAUGGAGACGAUAUGGGCACAACAUGGCCUCAGCACAUAUAUUACAAUACUACAGUAACACUAGAACUAAAACAGCGGCAUUCGAAAAAACAGCAACAACAAUUGAGCAACAUUGUUACGAGCGAAAAACUUCCGGCACACCAGAGACAUGUCUCAUCACUAACGAGCGGAAACAAUUUGCAGAGAAGUCGUCAGCAGCAGCAGUUAGUAAAAAUACAACAACAACAAAGGUAUCUAAAGCAAUAUCGACGGCAUUGUUGUCGUAUUGUCUGCCGGCCAUUGCAACAGUCGAGAAUAUUCGGGGUCACAGCAACGCGGUCACGACGUCACUUCAAGAGCCGACGGUCGAUCGUAAACUGCACAGGACCAAGCUACGGGCAUUGCAUGCGAGUAUUGCAAAAGGAGUUAACAAAGGGGGAUAUAAUUGUUUUGAAACGCCAACGCCAUGGAAACCAACAGCUGCCACGAAGCGACCAAGCUCAAACCCAACACACCCGACGCUGUCGCCGAAUCAGAAGUCACACGAAGCUGCAGAUGAUGUUCAUACGUUUCGUUGCGUGUACAGUGGCAGGCGAGGCAGAAGCAAAAGUGAAAGCGUUGACUUGCAAGCAAAACGCCCUCAGAGACCUCAACAACAACAACAACAGGAACAGCAGCAACAGCGAAACCGUUGGCAUUCGGAAAACAGAGGCGAAGCAUUGCCGUGUGAAUGGACAAGAGUCAAAGGUAUUGCAAAUAUGUCAAGUGCAGCCGCGUCUAACGCCAACAAGCAACAACAACAUCUGUGGAGGGGUGCCACUGGCAUUGUUGUUGGUGCUAUUGCAAGUUUACGCAAAACAUCUGCAGGGAAUUGCGCUCGACAGCGGUCACAAGCCAUUGCUUACAAGCACAGUACACAAACAAAGGAGAAACAUAACAACAAAAACAAGAAAACCAAAUGCUGCCAAUCAAGCGAAACGAAACAAAGUGAAACACACAACGUUGCCACGGGCUGCCAUGCAGCUGGGGAAUACGAUUGCUGCUGCAACCUGCAUAUCGUUUCGUCAUGUACACGCCAAUCUUCCAGAAAUGCUAUCGAACAGCAACAACAACUACAACUCAGCGGUCUAUCAAACGGCUCCAACCAAGAACUUUCACAGCUGCUUAUCGAAAACUGCUGCUCGCUCGCUUACAAUGCUGCACCUCAGCUACACCAACAACCACAAGCAACAACAACCACUGCAACAAAAUCCAAAACAGCAGCAAAAACCACAAAUGAACACCGAAGUAUAUUUCAAUACAAAACCAACAAAAAUAGCAAAUGCUACUACAAGGCGGAUGUUGCGAACGAACUCUAUUUGGAAAAAGCUGCAGCUGAUGCUGACUUCGGUGGCGGUUGCGGCACAAUUCUAUCUACGCUGCGUUGCACUGUGCGUUCGAAGCUUGUGCUUGCAGUGGCCGACCUGCAAGCUUUGUCACGUGCUCUUUUCUCACUCGUCAUCAUCUUCAACAUGCUGCCGUUAUUUUAUGCAGUUGCUGCUUCUGAAUUAAGAGCUAGCGGUGGUCCAAAUCCGGCGGCGCAUCCUUGGAUACCCGUUGUGGCUUACUUGGAAAGUCUGCCGAGACCAACAAAACCGCCAAAAUGCGACCAGACAUUCGUUUCACGUAUUGGCGGCCCACAGAAUGGCACAUUCACCGCGCCGCUGCUGCACAAUCACAAGAACCAUUCGCGUCAGUGCUUGUACACUUUCCUAGCAGGACCCGGGCAACGUGUCGAAGUACUUUUUACAGCGUUUAAUUUAAGAGGAAGUCCACCAGACGGUUCCGCCGUCGGUGAAUUACCAGCCUGUGUUCACGAGUACAUGGAUAUAUAUUCGGAAGUGCAGUCGUCAGAUCCAGCUGAACUAAUAAAUUCACCGUUUGGCGGACGAUAUUGUGGUACAAUACCGCCGCGACGACGUAUCUCCAUGUAUCGAGCUAUAGCCAUCUCAUUUUUUACCAAUAAAAAUGUAUCAACACCCGAUUUAUUCGAAGGAACUUAUAGAUUUAUAAAUGCAUCUGAAUAUGAAAUUGGUAUACCAAUAGCGGGUUCACCAUGUUCCUACACCAUUACGCCUAGCAUGAGUAUAAAUAAAACUGGGGCACUAAUAUCGCCAACCUAUCCGGGUGCCUAUCCAAAGGAUAUGUCAUGUACAUAUCAAUUCCUCGGCGAAUCGAAUCAAAGAGUUAGAUUAGAAUUUCGAGAUUUUGAUCUAUUUUUUGGUGGACCACACUGCCCAUUUGACUAUGUCAAAGUGUAUGAUGGUCCCGAUAAUUCGUCAGCAUUAAUUGGUACAUAUUGCGGACAGCAAAGGAAUUUAGUUUUAUACUCAAGCGAAUCGAGCCUUUUUGUUCAUUUUUAUACAUUGCCAAGAACAGCGAAUACACAAAAUCGUGGCUUUAAAGGAAUUUAUGAAUUUAGCGAAAGUUUUGUUAAAUUAGAUUUUAUACGUGAAAAUGAUGGCAUUCACAUACGUGGCUCCGAAUGUGAUCAAAAGAUAUUAUCGAGAAAGGAAUCAACGGGUUUUGUGCUCUCACCAAAUUAUCCCUAUCCAUAUAUACCGAAAACUGUUUGUAGGUACUUCAUUUACGGCAUGCAAGAUGCUCAGCAUCUGGAACGUGUACGUCUGGAGUUCUCAGCUUUCAACAUACCCAAGGUAGAGCACAAGGAUAAAAGCGAAUCCAAUUGCACAGACGGUUAUCUUAAAAUCUAUCUUAAGGGUCAGGAAACGGCCGAUGCCUAUGACAAAUUUGAUUACGAGUUAUGUGGCAAUGAAACGCAACGAGUUCUUAGCGAUGGACCACGCUUGGCAAUGGUAUUCAGUUCGGGUGAGCUACAGGGUCGCGGUUUCAAGGGUAAAUACAUCUUUGAAACUGAAUAUAAAAUACCUGGUACAGCUGCACCCGAUGGCACGUGUAGCUUCACAUAUGUGAGCAGUUCAAAGAAACGUGGCGAACUAAACAGUCCUCGCUAUCCAUCCAACUACCCAUCGGACACGAAUUGUUCGUAUCUAUUUCUAGGUGAACCGAAUGAGCAGGUCACGAUAGUUUUCGAUCAUUUUAAAGUUAAAGCGGAUGGUAACUCAAAUGCAACGGCUGGAGCUUAUGGUUCUAGCGCUUGCUUUGAAGACUGGCUGGAAAUGUAUGUUGUUUAUCGUGAUAACAACGAUCGUUUUCUUGGUCGCUACUGUGGUUUGACAGCACCCGGCCCCGUUGAGAGCCCAAGGGGUGCAGUGGGUCUGCGCAUCACAUUGCAUACGGAUCAAGAGAACGUAGCUAGUGGUUUCAAAGCGCGCUACUUUUUCGAAUCUCCUCGCACCGAUGUGGCUGAAUGCGGUGGCAACUUCUCAGGUCAGGACUCGGGUAUUAUCACUUCUCCCAACUACCCAGCAGGUUAUAAGGCACCCAGUCGUGGUAUGGCUUCGAUGGCAUGCAAUUGGAUAAUGACAGCACGGCCGGGUUAUAAGUUAUCAAUUAAUUUUGAGCACUUCUCCAUCGAAGGCGAUCCAGCAAAUCGUGGCUGUCCUGCUGCUGUUUUGCGACUUUGGGUCAAUGUCGAUUCUGAUCAACCGCCAUUGGAAUUGUGUGGUGAAAAGCCACUUAUCGAACAGUGGUAUUAUAUUUCUACUGGACAAACUGCUCGUAUCAGUUUCACAACCAGCGACAAAACCGUUGGUGCUCCGGGCUUCCGCAUUGUAUGGACUGAAAUACAAGACUCUGGUCCUGGACCACCGUCCAUUGGACUGCUUUGUGAAUCAACAUACCACUUCCAAUGCGAUGUGGGCUACUGCAUUUCCGACAAACUACGUUGCGAUGGCGUCAAAAACUGUGGUCCCGGUGAUGAUAGUGACGAAUUGCACUGUGAGUCGUGAUUUGCAAUUUCAGUUGAUUUCCGACCAAUGAUUCGGUACUUAACAAGACAGAUGGAAAUUAAUGGAUUUUGUUCAAAUAUAUUCAUUUCGAAAUACAACUUAUUUCAUAACUGUAGUAUAGUAUGCAUUUUUACUAUUAAAAUUACUAAUAAGAAACAUUAUAAAAAUUAAAUAUUAAAAAUAUAAUAUUUUCAAAACUCAGUUUUUAACAUACAUUUUCAAAAGUAAUUUAAUAAAGUCCUUUCGAAUUGUUUUCACAUACUCAAAAUUUAACUGUUUUCAUAUUCAAAUGAAUACUGUUACAUACAUAUACUACAUUUUUCGAAUGCAUAAGAAAUCAAACGAAAUUAUAUCUAAAUAAACCUCUCUACUUAUAUUAUAACACAUAUAUAUUUAAUUGAACUAAACUUCCCCUUAUUUUCCACCUGCGUUCUUUUACUCUCCUAAAGUGGAAAUAUUUUUUUAAUAUCUAUAUAAUUUCACUUUACUUUUAGCUAAGUUCGUAUUUAUUAAAUUUGUUCACAAUCAAACUUGAACCUGACGACACAAUUUAAAUAUGCUAAAAUAGUUUUCUGCCUUAUAAAUAACAAUAUUAAAUCUUAAUCUAUAAAUAUUACUUACAAUACAUUGCUUAUAGACUAAACAGAUGUUAAUGAAUUGUUCAUCAACAAUAAUCGUAAACAACUUAAAUACUUUAUUCAAAUAUAAACAAUAAAGAUCAUUAAAAUGGUUCAUAAAGAAACGAAUGAAUAUUUAUAGCGUGCUAGAUACAAAAAGAGACAUGGAACAAGUCAUUAAUUUAACAUCAUGCAUCGAAGAAUGAAUUUGAGUCCGACCACAUAACCUAACAAUCUAUGCUUAAUGCUUGAAAGAAAACUGGUUGAACAAAAAUGAGAAAUAAAUAAAGUGCCACAUGUCAUUUUUGUAUUUAGUUUGUUAUAUAGGUCUAAACAAAUCUUUAUACACUGAACUUGCAUAUUCGCACUGCACUUUUAUAAAAAAAUUUUGAAGCAUUUUUCACGAAAUUACAUUAUUAAUUAUGUAUACUUCAUCACUUGUCCAUGUACAUAAAUAUACAUAAGUUUGGUUAUUGUCCAUCUAUCAUAAAAUUUAGGCUUUUAGAGCAGUUUCCUACCAUGAAUGGCUUGAAUGAUAUAUAACAGUAAAAAAUUGUAUUAUAAAUAACUUUAUAUUUAUUGCUCUGCCAAAGAAAGAAGCGCAACGCAAUUGCGCAUGCGUUAAAAAUAGUAUAUCUUUGAACAGCUGGUAUAGUUUUGUUCGACUAGCUACCUCUAAGUUUGGAAGUUUGGAAAUUAACUUCCAAGCAAAGUAAAAUCCCUAAUGAAAUUUGUCAAGUUGUCGAUAAACAUGAAAAGGGUGCGAGAUAUUUCGAAAACUAAUUUACUUCGUACUUUCUUUUUUGCUCAGUCAAUCUUUUAAGCUUUUUCCACUGGGGAUACCGGCUACUUCACAGAAAAUACUAUUACUUUAGUACCAAUUGAUACGUAUAUGUCAUUGUGUAGUUGCUUGAUUUCUUUUAAAUCUAAAUACAUGAUUGUUUUAGGGACAUUUUUAUAAACAAUGGAAAGAAUGAAAUUUACCUCCAAAAUUAGAUCUUAAAGAUUAAUUCUUAUUUAUUGAUAUAAGUAGGGUAGGCAUAUUUGUACUGUUCGAAAUACAAAUGUCACCUCAUAGUAGAUAAGCGCCUUUAAAUAGACCACUUAACUGGUGAAUUACUGAGGGCUGUUGAGAAAAAUAUAAGGAUGUAAAGACUAGUACAAUUACAAAAAUUUAUUUACGAGUAUGUAUGUGUGUUUGUAAACUCAUAGUCAAUUUAAUCGAAUUUUAUCAGUCCAAAUAAAUCUUCCGUCUAUAUUUUACUUCAAGAUUUAUUCACAAAACCAUUGUUUCUAUUCUUUUUACCCAUUUUCUCUUCUAUCACUCGCUCAUGCUGGUCUUCUUCAAACUCAUCAAUUGAAUAAUUCCUUUUCAUUCUCAUCUUUGUGUCUUUCUAUUUCAAUUUUCAAAUUAAACCAAAAUAAACCAUUUUCAAUUGUUUGUUGUGUGCUACUUGCUUCUUCCUCUUCUUCUUUUUAUUAACUUUUCUUUCUCUCUUUAACGCCUUCCUCAUACUAAUACGCCCAGGCGACGGAAAUACACCUCUGAUGCCAUCAUUAAUACAACUUAUUGGUUUAGCAAUUGGCGUGGCGCGAUUCUUACAAUUUUAAAUACGUACUUUUAAGAGUCAAAUCAAAAAGAUUUAGAAAAAAAAUAAAAUCUAACGUAUACUUGCAUUGUUCUCAACAUAAAAAGAAAGUAGAAAUUGUCUAAUCGCAAUUUUUUUUUUUUGAACGUGUAUAAAUUGCUAAAUCAACUCAAGCGAAAACUUGAUCCUUUAACAACUACACUUGGCUGAUAAGGCGCGCCCAAAGCCACAUUAAAUUUAGCGUAUGCAAUUGUUGCAAUUACAAAACUCUAAACUAAAACAUUUUUCGCAUACAAAUAAGUCAUCUCUGAUUCAGAAACACGUGAGUCUUUUCAAAUACUAACAACUUUACAACAAAUCUUAACUCUUAACUCUUUUUGCUACAUAGUUUUAUAACAUGCUUACACACUAAUUUCUGUAACGAAUACUAUGGAUAUUAUUCAUAUACACUUUAUGUACAUACAAACAUGUUGACAUAAACUCGUUAGUACUCGCUAGCAAAUGGCACUCUAUAGACCACCCCAUACAACCCAUACAGCCCUCACUCAACAUAAACUCGCACUCACACAAACUCGCUCCUCUCACGUUAUGCAACGCUAUAUAGUUGUGCGUAAUAUGACGCCAUAAAAGCUUAAACCAAAAAAAUUUAGAAUUGCAUAAACAAUUAGGUGUUUUAGAAUAGAAAUAUUGCUUAAACUGCCUUCCUAAGUUUUCGAUAAUUCACGUAAAAAACGCUUAAAUAGCCGACAAUUCUCUACGUACUCGAAAUUCAUUCAAAAAGCUUUGUUUUAUUUGGACUUAUUAUUUUUUAGGCAACUUUCUACGACCUCAGCACCGUUUAAGUUAAUUUUGUUUUAAAUAAUUUGUGCUCGACAAAUAAUACGGCAGUAAACUAAAAAAAAAACAGUUCAACUCAUCUAACACUGCUGUUUUUUGAGAGCUCUUUUGGUACGAGUUUAGCACUGACAGGUUUUAUUGUUUCUUUAACUAUUUCGAUGUUGUCGUCUUUAAUAGAAGUAGAUGGACGACUCUCACGCAAGAGGCAAGUUUUCGAUGACUUCACAAGCUUCUCUCAAUGCUUUAUGCCACUAAAAUACAUGUGUUCGUGAUAAAGUAGUUUCCUCAAAACACCUCUGCAACAUUUUCACUGAUUCUGUAUCCGUGAUUACACGUGAAACACAAAAUUUCAAGCAAACUCAUUGUUCAUCAGAUGGUACUUUUGCUUUUACUCGAUCAAAAAAAUAUUAACAAGUUUUUUAUUUUAAAAAAAUAUUAUACUUACGGACAUCGAGAACCUGACCUAAAUCUAUGGGUUGAUAUUAAGGUAGCGAUUCUUUUAGUAAUAAAUUUCUGUGUUUUUUCACUUUAUUAUUCUAUGUUUUUGCACACGAUUGUAAUCGCCAUUUCAUAAUACUUUCGACUCAAAAAAAUCGCAUGUAUUCAGUUCUAGUCGUUGGUUCAGUUUCAAGUAAGAGAAGAAGUAUGUAUGUAUGUAUGUUCGAGCCACAAAUAUUUGCACAGCAUGCACAUAACCCAUCGAGAAAUUUAAUUACUCUUUUGUCAACGUAUUCAUUGCAUAAUGAUUCCUCAUAUUCGAUAAACAUUUUCGAAAAAAUUUCCCCACUUGACAUUUUCCAUCUGCCAAUUUUAUCGGUAAAACAUUGAAACUCUAUCUAAAUACAAAACUAAUCCACAAAUUUAAUUUUGGAACUUAUAAAAGCAAAAUAAAUGAAAGUAUGUACAUGCACAUCUAAGUAUGUAUGUUAUUAUCUCUAUAUAUUUAAACACAAACAGCCCUAAAUAUGAGUUAUUCUAAAUACAAAUACGAUAUUUAUUGAUAUUAAAAUAUUAAGAAAUAUUUCAUAACAAUUUAUGGCAGUUCACUAACAAGUUAAAAUUUUCUUACUCUGUCUUUUCUGAAAACAAAAAUCGCGUGCAACAAAAUCUUUGACGAAACCUUUUGGACUUUCGUCGUCGUUUUUGUGUGUUUAUGAAUAAUAUGAAUAUGCAUGCAAAAAGGUACCACACAAGCGCCCGAGGAGGAUCACGGCGUUCUAAUUAUAAUAACACUAAUCGUCGUCUCGUUCCUAAUCUGUCUCCUAUGCACACUCUGUCACUCCAAAAGAAAACGUAGAGCGCAUGUGCGCCAACUGGGCCUGCACCGCAAUGCGCAUUACGAUUCACAAACCAGCGCAACUGUUUUUAAAAAAUUUUAGUCAAUCUGAACAUCAUAUUUACACAUUUUCUUGUUUAAGAAUUUUGACACAUUAACAGGUUUGAGUUCCAGCCGACGGCAUUUGCAAGGUGGUGCGAGCAUAUCGGGUAGUCUACAUGGCAUCAAUAGCGGUUCAUUGAUGAUACCACCAGCACCCUUGCCACCCACCAGUGUACCACCACCGCCGCACAUCUGCAUUGCGGGCGUCGACGGUCUCAGCGCAGGCAUACUAAUUAACGACGACGACGGCCUGGACGAUGACGACGAAAUCGAUCUAGACAAUGUGCAGCAUGAGAUAUUCAUUAACGACGUACGAUUUGACGAUGAAGACAACCACUUGGAGCAAAUGCAUCAUUUGGAAACCGUUUAACAAUUGGCGAAGGUUUUGGGCGGCACUAGAGGCGUUAUCCAAUUGUUGCAACAAUAUGCGGCAUUUUAUAGGAAUUUACAAGCAUAGGAACAGAUUUAAUUUACAGUAAUAAGAAUUAAUGAAUAAUACCGAAAACAUUAGUAAUAAUAAUUGUACGACUACAUCAUUAAGUCAGGUUUUUAAUAACAAAAUUAAUCAAUAAAAUCCAAUUCCCAGGAAUUAAUAUGUAUGAUGUUUGAAGCAAAUAACAACAAAAUGUUUCAUGAAAUAAUAUGAAAAAAAUUACCGGCAAAAUUCAGCAAAUUCAAAAAUGCCAAUGAUUCGAAAAAGUGAGGAACUAAAGCAAUCGGCCAGAAAGGAUGAAAGGAGUGACUUUGUGAAAAAGCGGAGAGUUUGUCUCUUUGAAUAUUAAGGGAAUAUAAGACGAAAAAAUUGUCGGAUUUAGACUGGGUUUAUUGGCAUUUUAUUGACUUUUUUAUUUUUGAAAAAAUCGUAUAAAAAUAAAAUAUACAUAUUUGUGUCCACGCGACAUUUGGAAGAUCACCUAAAAGAACUUGUUGUAAAAUAAUUUCCAUAAAUUUAAUAUUUAAAAGUUAACAGUACUGCGAAUGGUAGGAAGCGAGAUAGCAUUUUGACAAAGCUUUUUAUUGUGAAACAAAAUAAAAAGUAACGAAAUUAAGACGAAAUUGAAACGAGAGGUAAAACUAAAGUGAAAUAAAUUUAAAACUAAUAAUAAAAAAAGCAAAAACAAAACAUAAAAAAGCUCAUUAGAGAUAAUUAAUGAAUAAUUUAUAUAUGAAACAGCAUAAAAUAGUAAACGAAAAUAAAACGGUAAAUCUCAUUCAAAGUGAAUUCAUUGCGAAAAGCAAAAUAUUGUUGAUUUUUAUAUUUGAUACGAUUUAGAAGCAUUAUACAUAUAUUAUUCGUAAGGCCCCAGCCAUAUUGAGAGGUAAAUAACAACAACGCAUAUACAUGUUUCAAUUUUGUUAACGACAAACACACGAACCCAUAAUAAUAAUGAAAGUUGAGACAAAAUGCAGUUCACAGUUGACUCAUAAAAUCACUCAUUCUAUUUCUUUUGUACACUCGUUCUAUAUCUUUUCUACACCCAGCAGUUAUUCACAUAACAACACUCAUCCCCUCAUCAAGCCGCUCGAGACACUUUCACGCAAACACGAAGAACGCGAACGCGAAGAAUGAAGCAACUUACCACAUCAAUAAUAAUGAUUCUAAAAAGUGCUCAAUACGUUAGUAAAUAUACAAUAAAAACAAUACGUACGAGUCUUAUUGCGAGUAAAUAAACAAAAUAAAUAAAUAGCAUACAUAUUUAAGUACAUAUGUACAUACAUAUUUGAUAGUAAAAUGCCAUAAAAACAAACAUAAGAAACGUAACAAACGUAACAAACGUAUAACGCUCAUACAUAAUACCUUUUUGAUGGCAAUAUUACGUAUUUAUUACGGUAAAAAACUCCGAAUGUGACAACAAACUGACAACCAAAAGUUGCUGCUCAGCCGACGUGCUACUACACUGAAUAAUAAUAAUAAUCAAUUAGUGACUAUCAAAACUGCAUCUUCCAAAGUAAGUAAUUAAAUAACGAAAUACUAAGGCACUUAAACAUAAAAAUAUAUAUAAUAUAAUGAGACCUUUAGCUUGAACACUGGCAUUAGGUAAAAUAACGGUAAAAAUUUAUCAAACGAAAGUAUAUAAGUGAAAAUGAGCAUAAUACAGGGCUUGUAGUAAAUUAGAUAUUGAGAUUGAAGCUCGCGAGUUUUGGGAGAUAAACAACAGGUAUAUAUAAAAGGGGUUAAAGAGCUUUUACUUAUCUUAAAAAUAUUUGAAAUUUUUACAUAAUUUUUUUUUAUUUUUAAUUGUUUGAAUUCAUUUUUUUUAUAUACAUAUGAUAAGGAAGUAACUAAAUGACAGAUUUUAAAACAAAUUUUUGUAUUAGCUUAUAUUUCUAAUGAAACCGCAAAAUUGGAAUUUUAGUAAACCGAAAAAUUCAAAACAUUGUAAUACAUUCAAGUUAAAAAAUUCUUUACUACUACAUUAGUUCGUAAAAUUCAAUUUUCAAUAUUUUUAACUCGAAAAAUAAAUGUAUAUAUAUUUUGUUCGCAUUCAUUUGUAUUGAUUUUGUACUCGUUUUCCUUCGUGUAUACUCGCAUACACAAACUGCAGACCCAACGGACGGUAAAAAAAAUCUAAAAUCGAGUUAAAAGGCAACAAAUUAAGCAGCAUUUUAAAAAAAUAUCAGUUUCGCCUAGAAUUAAGAUUAAUGAAUGCAACUAAAGUUAAACACUAAAUUAAAUGUUGGUAGUAAAUUUAAAGAAACAAUUAAAUAAACUAGAAGUAAAACCAUGAUUAAACGAAGAAAAGAGUUGAAAAUUAAUUUUAAAAAAUUAAAUGAAUUGUAGUUAUUAUUAUUAAAAAUGCACGGAGGCAAUGUUAAAGAAAAAUGCUUAAUUAGACACAAAUGUAUUCAUUCAAUGAAAACUAAACGAAGUAUUAUAAAAUGAGAUAAUAAUAAGUAUGGAGAAAUAAUUUGUAAAUUAGUUUGAACCAAACUACUUACACACACACACAUACAAGUAAAUUCACCGAACAUUAACGUUUGGAGCACUUUUAUUUAAAGGAAAAUGUCAUAAAUUUUUUAUAAACAUUUUUGUUUUCUUCCUGAAAUAUCAUUUUAAAAAUCUUAAAAUCAUCACAUUUUUUUAUUACAACAAUUAUUUUUUUUUAGUUCGAAAUCGUCAAUUCCCACUUCUUUUUCACCUAAAAGUACAUAACAGCUUAAUUUGUAUUCAAUAGGUGUAUUAUAAUUUCAAAACCACAAAUGUUUCUGCACACACACAUGCAUUUACACACACAAGUACAUAAAUGCAUAAAACAUUGAAAGCUAAAAAAUGUUAUUAAAACAAAAGUAUUUAUUAAAAAAUAGAUAAAAGUAUUGGUUUCAUAGCGCACGUACGUUUUACAACAACAACAAAAAUCAAUAAAUAAGUGAUGUUAAAAAUGUUUACGAAAUUAACGAAGAAAAUUAAUGCUAAAUGAGGUUAAAGUAUUGAAAUUAAAAUCGUCAAAAUUUAAUUAAGAAAACAAAUCAAAUUAAUUAAAUGUAAUAAAAUAAGUAUUUGCAUACAUAUACUAUGUAACACUGCGAAUUGCAUUAAAACAUGUACCCUUGAAGGUAAAAGCUGAAAAUCAUAAAUUAAGCAUAAUUUAUAUUGGCUCAAAGUUUAUAUUUUUAUUUUCUUUUUGAAAAGCCAAAUUUUUUAAUAAAACUGUUAAUUUUUCAGCGCAAAAAAAAAGAAGAAUAAUAUAAUUUACUAAAAUCUGAAAGGCAAUACCAACAUAACUAUGUAGACAAAUUGUGAAAUGUAACGUUAAAAAUGCAAGCUAAAUGAAAUUGUCGUAGAAUUAUCUUAACAACAAGGGUAUUUAAAAAAAGCAUUAAAACGAUCGAAAAUCAAAAAUAUAAACUAAAAGGUUAUUAAAAUUAAAAGUAAAAAUGUUUAUCAAAUAAAAAUGAGAAAGCGCAGUAAAACAUAGCUUCGAAAGUAGCAAAAUGAAAUGUCAGAACGAGGGAGGGAAGCACGCUCUCCAAAGUAAACAAUUGAAUGUUAACAUUAAAUUUAAAAACGAUAUAAGAAAUAUGAAAAAAAUGCAUGUAAGCAAACAAAAUAUAAUAUAACAAAAGCAUAUUGCAAUGUAAAAUUAUAAAAGUAUAAUAUGCGAUAGGUUAAAAGUUCACACAAUAAAGAACAGACAGACAAACAGAAAUAUGUUAUUGAAAAAUAGCGAGCUAAAAAUUUUAAUGCAUUGUAAUAAAAUAUUGAAACACAGCAAAAACUGUUUGAAAUACACACAUACAUACAUAUUAAACUCAAACAAAAACCAAAACAAAAAUUUAAAAAACAUAAAACAAUAUUGAUUAGAUCGUGUAAGAGAACGCGUAAUUUUUAGUGUGUUUAAUUCAAAGCAAAUACAAAACAACAAAAAAACUCAAUAAAAACCAAUAAAUGCCCAGAGGGGUAAUAAAAACAAAACCACAAAAAAAACACUCCCAACACCGUUGGCUGGGAACUGAAACAUCAAAGAAAAUAAGAAAGAUGAAACCCUUUUGUGUCUUGUUAAUUAUUAUUGUAUUUCUGUGUAUGUGUAGAGAAAGGGUACGCGUUAAUUAUGUUAAUUCUUACGUUAUUUGCAUUAAUUACAAUUAUUUACUUGAUAUGUAUACAAACAACGACAACAACAAUAAUGAAAAUACACAGUAUGAAACAUGCCUGCUUACACCCACACACAUGCAAACACAAAAUAUAUAAAUACAAAAUAAAAAUAAAAUACUUUAGUUAGACGCUCAAAAAUGCAAAAAGUACACGUAAUGAAUUCCAAUAUAAAAAAAUAGUAAUUUACCAGACACUGCCUGCACGGCAGACACUGUGUAUAUUGUGUUUUAUGCAGCUAUAAUAAUAGUCAGAAGUAAAUUAAAGAGCAACAUACACAUACCCACAUACAAGCAUUUGCCUUAGUUAUUUAAAUAAAUUAUACAGAUUAAUCGAUGAUGAUCGAACCCAUAUUUUAUACGUGAACGUACACACACGCAUUCAAACAACAACAAAACAAAUGUAUACAACGCUAUUAUUAUUACGAUUACUAAUAUUAUUAUUAUUAUUACUAUUAUUAUAUUUACAUGCAAUGUUUAUCUACGCAAAUAUAUAAUAUGUAAUAACCGACAAGAGGUUGCAUUAUAUUUAGUUAGCUUAUGCAUUGUUCAAAUAUUUUUAUAACCCAUUGUCUUUUGUUAGUAAGAGUAUUUACAAACAUAUAUGCAUAACCAUUCGUUUCAACAGCCAAUGGCUCAAUGUUGUCAACUAAGCAUUCAUGUUACGUAUUAGCUGCUAUGUCAAUCUAAUUUAAGUCUUAUUGUAAUCGGUUGAAAUAAAAUUUUAUUGAAAUACAAAUA